Non-coding RNA from Ailuropoda melanoleuca (giant panda), 483 nucleotides. The record is from the annotation of a RefSeq genome assembly. NCBI's taxonomy places the organism in Eukaryota, Metazoa, Chordata, Mammalia, Carnivora, Ursidae.
GGGGACACCCGACUCCAGGCCAAGAUACUUUGAGGGCCACAUACUGUGAGGGUCCCCAACAUGGUCUGGAUGGUGCUUCUUCUUGGGCUCCUUGCAUAUGGCUCAGGAGCAGAUUAUCAGGCUGUGUUGAUCCAGGAGCCAUCCCUGUCAGUGUCUCCAGGAGGGACAGUCACACUCACUUGUGGCCUCAGAUCUUUCUCAGUCUCUGCAAGCAACACCUGUCGCUGGUUCCAGCAGACCCCAGGCCAAGCCCCCUGCAUGCACAUCUACAGCACAAGCCACCACCCCUCUGGUGUCUCUGAGCACUUCUGUGGAUCCAUCUCUGGGAACAAAGCCAUCCUCACUACCACGAUGGUCCAGUGUGAGGAUGAGGCCGACUAUUGCUGUUUGCUGUCUGUGGGUGGUGGUCUUUACACAGUGAUUUAAAUCCAUGAGGAAGUGCAGCCAGAACCUCCCCAAGUGCUCAGAAUGGCUCAGCCUCAG